AGCAGCCGUGGUAAUUCCAGCUCCAAUAGCGUAUAUUAAAGUUGUUGCAGUUAAAAAGCUCGUAGUUGAAUUUCGGGAUCAAUAUGUUGGUCGUGCCUCGGUACGUACUAGCAUAUUGGUUUCUCCUUUCUGAAGAACCAUGAUGUCAUUUAUUUGGUGUCGUGGGGAAUCAGGACUGUUACUUUGAAAAAAUUAGAGUGUUUAAAGCAGGCUCACGCUUGAAUACAUUAGCAUGGAAUAAUGAAAUAGGACGUUUGAUUCUAUUUUGUUGGUUUCUAGGAUCGACGUAAUGAUUAAUAGGGAUAGUUGGGGGCAUUAGUAUUCAAUUGUCAGAGGUGAAAUUCUUGGAUUUAUUGAAGACUAACUACUGCGAAAGCAUUUGCCAAGGAUGUUUUCAUUAAUCAAGAACGAAAGUUAGGGGAUCGAAGACGAUCAGAUACCGUCGUAGUCUUAACCAUAAACUAUGCCGACUAGGGAUCGGAUGAUGUUAAUUUUUUU
RNAcentral lists this unclassified non-coding RNA (498 nucleotides) under uncultured Glomus. RNAcentral's name for it is "SSU rRNA". It matches the Rfam family "Eukaryotic small subunit ribosomal RNA", at positions 569 to 1073 of the family's 1831-position model. The record is from RNAcentral. Lineage: Eukaryota; Fungi; Glomeromycota; Glomeromycetes; Glomerales; Glomeraceae.